This 785-nucleotide long non-coding RNA is filed under the name Homo sapiens (human). Its description in RNAcentral is "HSALNT0348334". Lineage: Eukaryota; Metazoa; Chordata; Mammalia; Primates; Hominidae. The record is from RNAcentral.
GGAUUACAGGCGUGAGCCACCGCGCCCUGCCACAAGAGGGUAAGGAAACUGAAAUAUGACAAGGUUAAAUGAUUCAGAUGAGGGGCCGGAAAGCACGCCUCCCGAGACCCAUUCCUGGAAGCGGGUCUUUAAAGCUGCUCUCAGUUUAAAAUCAACCAAAUGCUCAGAUAUCAGAUGCGGAAACUGAGGCACAGGGAAUUUGAACAACUUGCUCAAGGUCAUAAAGCUAGAAGGAGGCACAGCCAAGCAUGGGCUUGUGUGACCUCAAAGCCUAUGUUCUCGCCACUGCUCUAAACUGUUUAUUCUGUUGGCUUGUCAUAAUGAUUGAAGACAAUGUAUAUAAAUCACAGAGGGUAGGACUCAGCUUGUAAUAUGUCCUCCAUACAUUUUAUCGAACAUUAUUAAUUAAUAAACAACAGAUAAAUAACAACAGUGCUUUGUUUGAUUAAAUUAUAUAUAUGAUUAUAUUUCUUCAGUGAAAUUGUUGGUUAUGCAUUUCUUACAAAUAAUUCACAAAUAUUAAUGAAUGUCUGUGUUGCAGCAGGCAUUUUGCUCACCACGGUGGACCUGGGGGUAUGUGAAAUAGGCACCAUCUCUGCUCUCACAAAUUUAAUACGUGCAGGCUGCUGGAUUGGACUAAAGUCCUGAGGAGAACUAUAACAAUCUCUUAGAGGGAACAGUGAUUAAACAGGGAUCAAUUGUGCCACCCAUAUAGCCUUCCUACUUACUGAUCAAGAAUGAUAGCAGACCUUAGCAAGUGCAAAUCAACAAGAGGAAUCCAAUGG